GAUGAAGAACGUAGCGAAAUGCGAUAAGUAAUGUGAAUUGCAGAUUUCAGUGAAUCAUCGAAUCUUUGAACGCACCUUGCGCCUUGUGGUAUUCCACAAGGCAUGCCCGUUUGAGUAUCAUUAAAUCAUCAACUCUAAAACCUUUGUGGUUUUUUUAGAGCUUGGUCUUGAGGGUUUUGCAGGCUUUUUUUUUCGAGUCUGCUCCCUUUAAAUGCAUUAGCGAGACUUCCCUAUGCUGAACCGUCUCUUUGACGUGAUAAUUAUCUGCGUCGAAUUUUGGUUCUCGUUGGGCUUGCUUCUAAUCGUCUGUUAAAGACAAAACGGAUUUGGGUGCAUAUAUGCGCCUUUUUCCAAAACCUUUUUUGAUCUCAAAUCGGGUAGGACUACCCGCUGAACUUAAGCAUAUUAAUAAGCGGAGGA
This 420-nucleotide unclassified non-coding RNA is filed under the name soil metagenome. RNAcentral's name for it is "partial contains 5.8S ribosomal RNA, internal transcribed spacer 2, and large subunit ribosomal RNA". The stretch from base 1 to 120 matches the Rfam family "5.8S ribosomal RNA", at positions 35 to 154 of the family's 154-position model. The record is from RNAcentral.